AUUGAACGCUGGCGGAAUGCUUUAUACAUGCAAGUCGAACGGCAGCACGGGGGUACUUCCGGUGGCGGGCGGCAACCGGGUGCGUAUUAGUACGAAACGUGCACGCUAGCGGUGGAUAAGGUAUAGCAUGUUAAGCUAAUACCUAAUACGGUCUAAGAUUGAACGUGGCGGACCUCCGGACUUCGCGCGAUUGCUGCGGUCGCUGUCAGAUUAGGUAGUUGGUGGGGUAAAGGCUUACCAAGCCGACGAUCUGUAGCUGGUCUGAGAGGACGACCAGCCACACUGGGACUGAGACACGGCCCAGACUCCUACGGGAGGCAGCAGUAGGGAAUUUUGGACAAUGGGCGCAAGCCUGAUCCAGCCAUUCCGCGUGCAUGACGAAGGCCUUCGGGUUGUAAACUGCUGUUGUAUGGAACGAAAAGGCUCUGGCUAAUACCUGCGGCUCAUGACGGUACCGUAAGAAUAAGCACCGGCUAACUACGUG
This 484-nucleotide ribosomal RNA is filed under the name uncultured bacterium. RNAcentral's name for it is "partial 16S ribosomal RNA". It matches the Rfam family "Bacterial small subunit ribosomal RNA", at positions 30 to 507 of the family's 1533-position model. The record is from RNAcentral.